GCAAGAAAAAUACUGUCCAAUCUCACCUGGUCUCAGAACCUAAGCAGGGCUGAGUCUGGUUAGUACUUGGAUGAGAGAGCACCUGAGAACACCAUGUACUGCC
Molecule: ribosomal RNA, 103 nt
Filed under: Amphilophus citrinellus (Midas cichlid)
Lineage: Eukaryota; Metazoa; Chordata; Actinopteri; Cichliformes; Cichlidae
Source: RNAcentral